This 805-nucleotide ribosomal RNA is filed under the name uncultured bacterium. RNAcentral describes it as "bacterial SSU rRNA". It matches the Rfam family "Bacterial small subunit ribosomal RNA", at positions 1 to 793 of the family's 1533-position model. The record is from RNAcentral.
CCCUUAGAGUUUGAUCCUGGCUCAGAAUCAACGCUGGCGGCGUGCCUAACACAUGCAAGUCGAACGCGAAAGUGGAGCAAUCCAUGAGUAGAGUGGCAAACGGGUGAGUAACGCGUGGGCGACCUACCUUCGAGUGGGGGAUAACAUUCCGAAAGGAGUGCUAAUACCGCAUGACAUCCCGUGUUUGGAUACACGGACAUCAAAGCCGGGGAUCGCAAGACCUGGCGCUUGAAGAGGGGCCCGCGUCCGAUUAGCUAGUUGGCGAGGUAACGGCUCACCAAGGCUUCGAUCGGUAUCCGGCCUGAGAGGGCGGACGGACACACUGGGACUGAGACACGGCCCAGACUCCUACGGGAGGCAGCAGUGGGGAAUUGUUCGCAAUGGGCGCAAGCCUGACGACGCAACGCCGCGUGGAGGAUGAAGAUUUUCGGAUCGUAAACUCCUUUCGACCGAGAUGAAUUUCCGCCGACCUAAUACGUCGGCGGGGUGACAGUAUCGAGGGAAGCAGCCCCGGCUAACUCCGUGCCAGCAGCCGCGGUAAUACGGGGGGGGCAGGCGUUGUUCGGAAUUACUGGGCGUAAAGGGUUCGUAGGUGGCUCGCUAAGCCAGACGUGAAAUCCCUCAGCUUAACUGGGGAACUGCGUCUGGGACUGGAGAGCUUGAGUGCAGGAGAGGAAUGCGGAAUUCCAGGUGUAGCGGUGAAAUGCGUAGAUAUCUGGAGGAACACGGGUGGCGAAGCGCAUUCUGGACUGCAACUGACACUGAGAACGAAAGCAGGGAGCAAACGGGAUAGAUACCCCGGUAG